RNAcentral lists this ribosomal RNA (302 nucleotides) under uncultured bacterium. RNAcentral's name for it is "partial 16S ribosomal RNA". It matches the Rfam family "Bacterial small subunit ribosomal RNA", at positions 508 to 807 of the family's 1533-position model. The record is from RNAcentral.
GCAGCAGCCGCGGUAAAACAGAGGGUGCGAGCGUUAAUCGGAUUUACUGGGCGUAAAGCGUGCGUAGGCGGCUUCUUAAGUCGGAUGUGAAAUCCCUGAGCUUAACUUAGGAAUUGCAUUCGAUACUGGGAAGCUAGAGUAUGGGAGAGGAUGGUAGAAUUCCAGGUGUAGCGGUGAAAUGCGUAGAGAUCUGGAGGAAUACCGAUGGCGAAGGCAGCCAUCUGGCCUAAUACUGACGCUGAGGUACGAAAGCAUGGGGAGCAAACAGGAUUAGAUACCCCAGUAGUCCCUGUCUCUUAUAC